Molecule: ribosomal RNA, 500 nt
Filed under: uncultured bacterium
Lineage: Bacteria
Description: partial 16S ribosomal RNA
Rfam family: Bacterial small subunit ribosomal RNA
Source: RNAcentral
AUUGAACGCUGGCGGCAGGCCUAACACAUGCAAGUCGAGCGGAUGACGGGAGCUUGCUCCUUGAUUCAGCGGCGGACGGGUGAGUAAUGCCUAGGAAUCUGCCUGGUAGUGGGGGACAACGUUUCGAAAGGAACGCUAAUACCGCAUACGUCCUACGGGAGAAAGCAGGGGACCUUCGGGCCUUGCGCUAUCAGAUGAGCCUAGGUCGGAUUAGCUAGUAGGUGAGGUAAUGGCGCACCUAGGCGACGAUCCGUAACUGGUCUGAGAGGAUGAUCGGUCACACUGGAACUGAGACACGGUCCAGACUCCUACGGGAGGCAGCAGUGGGGAAUAUUGGACAAUGGGCGAAAGCCUGAUCCAGCCAUGCCGCGUGUGUGAAGAAGGUCUUCGGAUUGUAAAGCACUUUAAGUUGGGAGGAAGGGUUGUACGUUAAUACCGUGCAAUUUUGACGUUACCGACAGAAUAAGCACCGGCUAACUCUGUGCCAGCAGCCGCAGUAA